Molecule: ribosomal RNA, 378 nt
Filed under: uncultured eukaryote
Lineage: Eukaryota
Description: partial 18S ribosomal RNA
Rfam family: Eukaryotic small subunit ribosomal RNA
Source: RNAcentral
CAAUAGCGUAUAUUUAAGUUGUUGCAGUUAAAAAGCUCGUAGUUGGAUUUCGGGUGGGACGCAGCGGUCUCGCAUUGCGUUUGUACUGCUGCAGCCCUCCUUCUUGCCGGGGGCGGCCUCUCGGACUUCACUGUCUGGGGGUCAGAAUCGGCGAUGUUACUUUGAGUAAAUUAGAGUGUUCAAAGCAAGCUUACGCUCUGAAUAUAAUAGCAUGGGAUAACACGACAGGACUCUGGCCUAUCGUGUUGGUCUAUAGGACCAGAGUAAUGAUUAAGAGGGACAGUCGGGGGCAUUCGUAUUCCGUUGUCAGAGUUGAAAUUCUUGGAUUUACGGAAGACGAACAUCUGCGAAAGCAUUUGCCAAGGAUGUUUUCAUUGA